Molecule: ribosomal RNA, 158 nt
Filed under: uncultured fungus
Lineage: Eukaryota; Fungi
Description: 5.8S ribosomal RNA
Rfam family: 5.8S ribosomal RNA
About the family: 5.8S ribosomal RNA (5.8S rRNA) is a component of the large subunit of the eukaryotic ribosome. It is transcribed by RNA polymerase I as part of the 45S precursor that also contains 18S and 28S rRNA. Functionally, it is thought that 5.8S rRNA may be involved in ribosome translocation.
Source: RNAcentral
AAAACUUUCAACAACGGAUCUCUUGGCUCUGGCAUCGAUGAAGAACGCAGCGAAAUGCGAUAAGUAAUGUGAAUUGCAGAAUCUAGUGAAUCAUCGAAUCUUUGAACGCACAUUGCGCCCUCUGGUAUUCCGGAGGGCAUGCCUGUUCGAGCGUCAUU